This 497-nucleotide ribosomal RNA is filed under the name uncultured bacterium. RNAcentral describes it as "partial 16S ribosomal RNA". It matches the Rfam family "Bacterial small subunit ribosomal RNA", at positions 28 to 507 of the family's 1533-position model. The record is from RNAcentral.
GAUGAACGCUGGCGGCGUGCCUAAUACAUGCAAGUCGAGCGAACGGACGAGAAGCUUGCUUCUCUGAUGUUAGCGGCGGACGGGUGAGUAACACGUGGAUAACCUACCUAUAAGACUGGGAUAACUUCGGGAAACCGGAGCUAAUACCGGCUAAUAUUUUGAACCGCAUGGUUCAAGAGUGAAAGACGGUCUUGCUGUCACUUAUAGAUGGAUCCGCGCUGCAUUAGCUAGUUGGUAAGGUAACGGCUUACCAAGGCAACGAUGCAUAGCCGACCUGAGAGGGUGAUCGGCCACACUGGAACUGAGACACGGUCCAGACUCCUACGGGAGGCAGCAGUAGGGAAUCUUCCGCAAUGGGCGAAAGCCUGACGGAGCAACGCCGCGUGAGUGAUGAAGGUCUUCGGAUUGUAAAACUCUGUUAUUAGGGAAGAACAUAUGUGUAAUUAACUGUGCACAUCUUGACGGUACCUAAUCAGAAAGCCACGGCUAACUACGUG